GAUCCUGGCUCAGAGCGAACGCUGGCGGCAGGCCUAAUACAUGCAAGUCGAGCGGGUCCUUCGGGAUUAGCGGCGGACGGGUGAGUAACGCGUGGGAACGUGCCCUUUGGUACGGAACAACUGAGGGAAACUUCAGCUAAUACCGUAUGUGCCCUUCGGGGGAAAGAUUUAUCGCCAUUGGAGCGGCCCGCGUUGGAUUAGGUAGUUGGUGAGGUAAAGGCUCACCAAGCCUACGAUCCAUAGCUGGUCUGAGAGGAUGACCAGCCACACUGGGACUGAGACACGGCCCAGACUCCUACGGGAGGCAGCAGUAGGGAAUCUUGCGCAAUGGGCGAAAACCUGACGCAGCCAUGCCGCGUGAAUGAUGGAGGUCUUAGGAUUGUAAAAUUCUUUCACCGGGGACGAUAAUGACGGUACCCGGAGAAGAAGCCCCGGCUAACUUCGUG
RNAcentral lists this ribosomal RNA (446 nucleotides) under uncultured bacterium. RNAcentral describes it as "bacterial SSU rRNA". It matches the Rfam family "Bacterial small subunit ribosomal RNA", at positions 15 to 507 of the family's 1533-position model. The record is from RNAcentral.